AAUAAGUCUUGUUUGAGAGAUUAGGUAUAUUGGAUAUAAAUUUUAAAAAAGAAAUUAUAUUAUGGAAAAUUAGUAUUAAAAAGAAAUUUUUGAUUAAACUAGAGAGGAAUAGUAUCGUAAGAGAAGGAAGUAUAUAAAUUAGGAAAAAGUAAAAGUUAAUUUUUGUACCUUUUGUAUCAGGGGUAGCUAAUAUAAUUGUUAUAUUGGGCGGGGUCUCGAAGUGAGGAGAGCUAAUUUGUUAGUUAUAAUUAUGUAUUAAAAUAAUAUGGAAUGGCAGGUUAGUAAUGAUAUUUUAGUCGAGCCUUAUAUAUCUAGUUUUUCUUGAAAGAAAUUUAAUUUUACUAUUAUUAGUUUAGAUGUAGUAUUGGGGAAAAGCAGAGGGGAAGAGCUCUUUGUUUAAAUUUUCUAUGAAGGUGGGGAUUUGAUUUAUUGAAUUAGGCUUAAAAUUAGCUAUAUUUAUAAAGCGUUCUAGUUAAGAUAAAGAUAAUUUAAUUUUAUAUACUUUCUAGAGGUUAUAGGGAAAAAUAAUUGUUAAUUAUGAGUAAUUAAAUAAAAUGGUUAUAUAAGUAUAUAGUAAUGUGAAUUUAUUAGUUUAAAAUUAGGGAAAUAAAAUACUUUUUUUUAGAUAUAAAAAAGGAAUUCGGCAAAUAAGGCUUCUGCCUGUUUAUCAAAAACAUGUUUUUACGAUAAUAUGUAAAGUUUGGCCUGCCCACUGAAAAUUUUUAAAGGGCCGCGGUAAUUUGACCGUGCGAAGGUAGCAUAAUCAAUAGUCUUUUAAUUGAAGGCUGGAAUGAAUGGUUGGACAAGAAGCAUUCUGUCUUUUUUAUAAGGAUUGAAUUUAACUUUUAAGUGAAAAGGCUUAAUUGAUUUAAGGGGACGAUAAGACCCUAUAAAACUUUAUAUUAAUAUAUUAGUUUUUAAAUUUAAGUUUAAAGUAUACUAGUGUUAGGGAUAUUAUGUUGGGGCGACAAGAAUAUAAUUGUAACUGUUUGUUAGUUGAAAUAGGUAUUUUUAGAUAAUUUUGAUCCUUUAAUGGGGAUUAUAAGAAUAAGUUACUUUAGGGAUAACAGCGUUAUUUUUUCUGAGAGUUCUUAUCGACGAAAGUAGUUGCGACCUCGAUGUUGAAUUAAAGUUUCAGUGGGGUGUAGAAGUUCCAUUGGUAGGUCUGUUCGACCUUAAAAACUUUACAUGAUUUGAGUUCAAACCGGUGUAAGCCAGGUUGGUUUCUAUCUUUUAGUAUUAUUAAUACUGUUUUAGUACGAAAGGAUCCAACAGUAGAAAUAUUUUUUAAAUUAGGAUUAACAUUAAU
This 1309-nucleotide ribosomal RNA is filed under the name Oplophorus typus. RNAcentral describes it as "16S ribosomal RNA". The stretch from base 870 to 1236 matches the Rfam family "Bacterial large subunit ribosomal RNA", at positions 2073 to 2647 of the family's 2925-position model. The record is from RNAcentral. Lineage: Eukaryota; Metazoa; Arthropoda; Malacostraca; Decapoda; Oplophoridae.